AGAUUGAACGCUGGCGGCAUGCCUUACACAUGCAAGUCGAACGGCAGCACGGGAGCAAUCCUGGUGGCGAGUGGCGAACGGGUGAGUAAUAUAUCGGAACGUGCCCAGUCGUGGGGGAUAACGCAGCGAAAGCUGUGCUAAUACCGCAUACGAUCUAUGGAUGAAAGCGGGGGAUCGCAAGACCUCGCGCGAUUGGAGCGGCCGAUAUCAGAUUAGCUAGUUGGUGGGGUAAAAGCCUACAAGGCGACGAUCUGUAGCUGGUCUGAGAGGACGACCAGCCACACUGAACUGAGACACGGUCCAGACUCCGUACGGGAGCAGCAGUGGGGAAUUUUGGAC
This 339-nucleotide ribosomal RNA is filed under the name uncultured soil bacterium. Its description in RNAcentral is "bacterial SSU rRNA". It matches the Rfam family "Bacterial small subunit ribosomal RNA", at positions 26 to 369 of the family's 1533-position model. The record is from RNAcentral.